RNAcentral lists this ribosomal RNA (274 nucleotides) under uncultured bacterium. RNAcentral describes it as "partial 16S ribosomal RNA". It matches the Rfam family "Bacterial small subunit ribosomal RNA", at positions 523 to 796 of the family's 1533-position model. The record is from RNAcentral.
AUACUUAGGGUGCAAGCGUUAAUCGGAAUUACUGGGCGUAAAGCGCUCGUAGGCGGCUUGUUAAGUCGGAUGUGAAAUCCCCGGGCUCAACCUGGGAACUGCAUUCGAUACUGGCAGGCUAGAGUAUAGUAGAGGCAAGUGGAAUUCCGGGUGUAGCGGUGAAAUGCGUAGAUAUCCGGAGGAACAUCAGUGGCGAAGGCGACUUGCUGGACUAAUACUGACGCUGAGGAGCGAAAGCGUGGGGAGCAAACGGGAUUAGAUACCCCAGUAGUCC